This 1380-nucleotide long non-coding RNA is filed under the name Medicago truncatula (barrel medic). RNAcentral's name for it is "long non-coding RNA (MTRU_LNC001700)". The record is from RNAcentral. Lineage: Eukaryota; Viridiplantae; Streptophyta; Magnoliopsida; Fabales; Fabaceae.
AAUCAUCAAGUGUCAAGUGUGCAAAUCAUCACAAAAGUGGGGUCAGGGACUAAAACCAAAACGAGACAUAUUUGCAGGGACCAAAACCAUAUUUUAGCCUUUAUUAAAAUCACAAUGAAUCCUAACAAGCACAAGGAGUGCUAGACAAGGAGUCGAAAAGUAGCAACAUAGGAAAACAAAAGUUGUACCAAAACCUUCACCCAACAUACAUAAAAAACCCCUCAACCAACAUCACAAGCUGCCACAAAAACAACUUCCACCACCUACAUUCCGCUGCUCGCACACAACUCCCAAAUUGCAACGUCAAGAACCAAACCAACACAACCUUGGAAAAAUAACCGAUAACUAUAACGAUUGAAACAACAACAACCACCUUCGCCACAACAACAAUCGAUGUCACCUUAACGAAUCCACUUUUGCAACAACAACAACUAGCGCAACAACAAAAUUCACCUUCACAGCAGCAACACCAUCGAUCCACAUCGACAACCCACCAGAUAACAGAGUAGUCGAACCGGAUGAGAUAGUUAUGAUCGAACCCAACCGUUGAAGACCCACCGACACCGCCUCACACCACCAAAAACGUGGCCUACAUCACCACCUCACACCACCAUCACCUCCUCCACAUAGAUCUGGAUCAGAAGGAAACAACCACCACACGAAUUCACCAGGCAACCUGUGUUUUUCUAACAGUCGCAAACUCAGCACCCGCAAGGAAGAAAACAUCAUCGCCGCGGCUACAGUACCAAAACCACCACCAUCACAUCCUCUUACCACCAAGACCGAGACUUACCUCGCCACCAUCACCACUGUCACGUAGCCAUCUGGUGAGCCACCAGCACAUCCACAUAGCCACCACACAGCCACCAUGAAAACACUCCAAAAACCAUCUUUCACAACUAGCCCACCACAGACCGCCGCACCAACGACCACCUUUCACCACCAUUUUCACUGCACCACCGAAGAUACUCUAUCAUCACCUACAAUCCACCACAACAUAAAAACCCCCACCCAAAUGAACCAUGACACAAAACCUCCAGCCUAACCACCACCAUAUCACCCUCAUAACUCGCGGAAGGGGUCAACAAAAUCUGAACGAACACCAGAUUGAAAAAUCAACGAACAACACAACAGACCGCCAGAGAACAGCAACAACACCGUCGCCGGAAGAUCUGACAAAAGGGGUGGUGCGGAGGACAACCCUCCCUCGUCGCACCACCAUCCUGAAUAGCUACAUCUUGUAAGAGGAGGAUUUGGAUUGGGGAGGAAGAAGAUGCAAGCGGCGGAGAGUACUUUUUUUUUUGGUACAAGAGUACUGUUUUCUAUGGAGAGGCGAGAUGUUUUUUUUUUCUUCAUGUAAUUAGUUGUUUUUUAGUGUAG